RNAcentral lists this ribosomal RNA (466 nucleotides) under uncultured bacterium. RNAcentral's name for it is "partial 16S ribosomal RNA". It matches the Rfam family "Bacterial small subunit ribosomal RNA", at positions 30 to 507 of the family's 1533-position model. The record is from RNAcentral.
CGAACGCUGGCGGCGUGCUUAACACAUGCAAGUCGAACGGAAAGGCCCUGCUUUUGUGGGGUGCUCGAGUGGCGAACGGGUGAGUAACACGUGAGUAACCUGCCCUUGACUUUGGGAUAACUUCAGGAAACUGGGGCUAAUACCGGAUAGGAGCUCCUGCUGCAUGGUGGGGGUUGGAAAGUUUCGGCGGUUGGGGAUGGACUCGCGGCUUAUCAGCUUGUUGGUGGGGUAGUGGCUUACCAAGGCUUUGACGGGUAGCCGGCCUGAGAGGGUGACCGGCCACAUUGGGACUGAGAUACGGCCCAGACUCCUACGGGAGGCAGCAGUGGGGAAUAUUGCACAAUGGGCGGAAGCCUGAUGCAGCAACGCCGCGUGCGGGAUGAUGGCCUUCGGGUUGUAAACCGCUUUCGCCUGUGACGAAGCGUGAGUGACGGUAAUGGGUAAAGAAGCACCGGCUAACUACGUG